RNAcentral lists this long non-coding RNA (616 nucleotides) under Salvia miltiorrhiza (redroot sage). RNAcentral's name for it is "long non-coding RNA (SMIL_LNC014101)". The record is from RNAcentral. Lineage: Eukaryota; Viridiplantae; Streptophyta; Magnoliopsida; Lamiales; Lamiaceae.
AAAGGAGAGUUUCCGAGUGAAUGGCCAUCGAGUGAAGCCGUACUACGAGCACCAGAGCUCGCCUAUGGAGGAGGAGUCUCAAGCUCUGCACAACCCUAGCUGAAGUUCAGCUCUGAAGUCGGGCUGGAGACUUUAACUCUAGCGCUUGGUGGGAGGCAACCCACCUUUGGUUUGUUUUUAAUUUUUAUUUUUCUUUUGCUUUCUUUGUUUUCGUUGAUUGUUUUGAGUCUUUCUUCAGUUUUGGUUGCCAACGCCGACAAAGGGAAGAAGGGAGCCAACGCUAAUAAAAAAAAAAAUAGAAAAAAUUACGUAUAUAAAAAAAAAAAAGAGAAUAGCUGAAGGAGUCCGUUGCCUAAAAGAUUGAGAAUACACCAAGUCUAAGAGAAGGCGUUGAUUUAAAAUGUGUGGGCCAAAGCUGAUAAAGGUGUUAAAAAUUGCUAAAAGAGAGGGGAAGGAGUCAGCGCUGGAUUAAAAACUAAGAAAGGGCCAACGCAGCUUUGGCUAGGAAAUUACGUCAACGAUUGAAGUUAAAAGAGUCAGCGAUGGCCAAACGUCGAAUGGAGCAGGCUAGCAAAAGAAGGAAAAGUCACCAAAAAUAACCACCCGCCAACCGCAG